UACGUAGGGUGCGAGCGUUAAUCGGAAUUACUGGGCGUAAAGCGUGCGCAGGCGGUUCGUUGUGUCGGCGGUGAAAGCCCCGGGCUUAACCUGGGAACUGCAUUUGUGACUGCAUCGCUGGAGUGCGGCAGAGGGGGAUGGAAUUCCGCGUGUAGCAGUGAAAUGCGUAGAUAUGCGGAGGAACACCGAUGGCGAAGGCAAUCCCCUGGGCCUGCACUGACGCUCAUGCACGAAAGCGUGGGGAGCAAACAGG
RNAcentral lists this ribosomal RNA (253 nucleotides) under uncultured bacterium. RNAcentral's name for it is "partial 16S ribosomal RNA". It matches the Rfam family "Bacterial small subunit ribosomal RNA", at positions 524 to 776 of the family's 1533-position model. The record is from RNAcentral.